This 274-nucleotide ribosomal RNA is filed under the name uncultured bacterium. RNAcentral describes it as "partial 16S ribosomal RNA". It matches the Rfam family "Bacterial small subunit ribosomal RNA", at positions 523 to 796 of the family's 1533-position model. The record is from RNAcentral.
AUACGGAGGGUGCAAGCGUUGUCCGGAUUUAUUGGGUUUAAAGGGUGUGUAGGCGGUGUAUUAAGUCAGUGGUGAAAGCCUGCGGCUCAACCGUAGAACUGCCAUUGAUACUGACACACUUGAGUAUGGACGAGGUAGGCGGAAUUUAUGGUGUAGCGGUGAAAUGCAUAGAUACCAUAAAGAACACCGAUAGCGAAGGCAGCUUACUAGGCCAUAACUGACGCUGAGGCACGAAAGCGUGGGGAGCGGACAGGAUUAGAAACCCUAGUAGUCC